UACGUAGGGUGCAAGCGUUGUCCGGAAUUAUUGGGCGUAAAGAGCUCGUAGGUGGUCUGUCACGUCGGCUGUGAAAACCCGAGGCUCAACCUCGGGCCUGCAGUCGAUACGGGCAGACUAGAGUUCGGUAGGGGAGACUGGAAUUCCUGGUGUAGCGGUGGAAUGCGCAGAUAUCAGGAAGAACACCAACGGCGAAGGCAGCUCGCUGGGACGGUACUGACGCUGAGACGCGAAAGCGUGGGGAGCGAACAGG
Molecule: ribosomal RNA, 253 nt
Filed under: uncultured bacterium
Lineage: Bacteria
Description: partial 16S ribosomal RNA
Rfam family: Bacterial small subunit ribosomal RNA
Source: RNAcentral